CCUACGGGUGGCAGCAGUGGGGAAUAUUGCGCAAUGGGCGAAAGCCUGACGCAGCGACGCCGCGUGCGGGAUGAAGGUCUUCGGAUCGUAAACCUCUGUCAGCAGGGAAGAACGGUCACUGUGCUAAUCAGCAGUGAAUUGACGGUACCUGCAAAGGAAGCACCGGCUAACUCCGUGCCAGCAGCCGCGGUAAUACGGAGGGUGCGAGCGUUAAUCGGAAUUACUGGGCGUAAAGCGCUCGUAGGCGGUAUGUCAAGUCAAGGGUGAAAUCCCCGCGCUCAACGUGGGAACUGCCUUUGAAACUGGCAAACUGGAGUGUGGUAGAGGAUAGUGGAAUUCCAGGUGUAGGGGUGAAAUGCGUAGAGAUCUGGAGGAACAUCAGUGGCGAAGGCGACUAUCUGGCACAUAACUGACGCUGAGGAGCGAAAGCGUGGGGAGCAAACAGGAUUAGAUACCCCAGUAGUC
This 465-nucleotide ribosomal RNA is filed under the name uncultured bacterium. RNAcentral's name for it is "partial 16S ribosomal RNA". It matches the Rfam family "Bacterial small subunit ribosomal RNA", at positions 338 to 795 of the family's 1533-position model. The record is from RNAcentral.